UACGGAGGGUGCGAGCGUUGUCCGGAAUCACUGGGCGUAAAGGGCGCGUAGGCGGCUUCUUAAGCGGGUGGUGAAAGCUCGGGGCUCAACCUCGAGUCGGCCAUGCGAACUGGGAAGCUCGAGCACUGUAGAGGCAGGCGGAAUUCCGGGUGUAGCGGUGGAAUGCGUAGAGAUCCGGAAGAACGCCGGUGGCGAAGGCGGCCUGCUGGGCAGUAGCUGACGCUGAGGCGCGACAGCGUGGGGAGCAAACAGG
This 253-nucleotide ribosomal RNA is filed under the name uncultured Gemmatimonas sp. Its description in RNAcentral is "partial 16S ribosomal RNA". It matches the Rfam family "Bacterial small subunit ribosomal RNA", at positions 524 to 776 of the family's 1533-position model. The record is from RNAcentral. Lineage: Bacteria; Pseudomonadati; Gemmatimonadota; Gemmatimonadia; Gemmatimonadales; Gemmatimonadaceae.